This 432-nucleotide ribosomal RNA is filed under the name uncultured bacterium. RNAcentral's name for it is "partial 16S ribosomal RNA". It matches the Rfam family "Bacterial small subunit ribosomal RNA", at positions 29 to 506 of the family's 1533-position model. The record is from RNAcentral.
AACGAACGCUGGCGGCAUGCCUAACACAUGCAAGUCGAACGAGACCUUCGGGUCUAGUGGCGCACGGGUGCGUAACGCGUGGGAACCUGCCCUUAGGUUCGGAAUAACUCCCCGAAAGGGGUGCUAAUACCGGAUAAUGUCUUCGGACCAAAGAUUUAUCGCCUUUGGAUGGGCCCGCGUUGGAUUAGCUAGUUGGUAGGGUAAAAGCCUACCAAGGCGACGAUCCAUAGCUGGUCUGAGAGGAUGAUCAGCCACACUGGGACUGAGACACGGCCCAGACUCCUACGGGAGGCAGCAGGGGGGAAUAAUGGACAAUGGGCGAAAGCCUGAUCCAGCAAUGCCGCGGGAGUGAUGAAGGCCUUAGGGUUGUAAAGCUCUUUUACCCGGGAUGAUAAUGACAGUACCGGGAGAAUAAGCUCCGGCUAACUCCGU